UCUUGGCAGGAAAGCAAUGACAAACUUAGAUAAUGUACUGAAAAGCAGCGACAUUACUCUGCUGACAAAGGUCUGUAUAGUCAAGGCUAUGGUCUUCCUAGUGGUCACAUACUGUUGUGAGAGCUUGAUCAUAAAGAAGGCAGAAUGCCAAAGAAUUGAUGCUUUUGAACUGUGGUGUUGGAGAAGAC
Long non-coding RNA from Cervus elaphus (red deer), 188 nucleotides. RefSeq lists it as uncharacterized. Lineage: Eukaryota; Metazoa; Chordata; Mammalia; Artiodactyla; Cervidae. The record is from RefSeq and is a predicted model, not a curated record. The transcript is spliced from 3 exons.